GGCGCAGGAACCACCGAACGCGAUCGAUCAGAUCGCGCAAAACGAACCGAUCGUAUCGAAAUGCAACCAGCAACUGAUGAAACUAUCGCACUGAUCGUACGCACCACCCCUAACCUAAACCCGUGUUGUUGUUUUUGUUGCUGCUGCUGCUGCCGCUGUUUUUGAUUCAUGAAGACGUUCGUGCAGAAGAAGAAGGACAGCAUAAAAGCAAAAGCCCACACCCCGCACACGAGGCAGUGGUUGCUGACACGGUAGGACAGGUGUGGUGUAGCCUGCGUGGUACAGAAACGAGAUCGUGGCGAAGAUGCGCGCGAGAUGCUCCACUUUGUCCAAGCGUUCCGGUUGGCAAGGUAACAAACACACCGCAAGCUGAAUUGACGAAAAACGAGAAGGAAAAGCAACGCCGAAACACACAACACACCCUGGAUCUCGCGAUCGCGAUGGUGAAAAGGAACGAACAAAGCGGCGAAAUUGCCAAAAUAAUGGAUCAGAGUAGACAUUGCUUCCAAACAACAGAACUACAAUGGAAGGAUGGCAGGAUGCAUUUGUAAUACAGACAGGAGCAUAAUAUGUUAAAUUUAAAAAAAUAGCCAUGAAAACUAUAAUUUCACAACGUUGUACAAGGUUUAAUAGAAAUGUAGGAAGUAUUGAAGGAGACAUUUCAAUUCUCUAUAAAGUAGUCACCAGUUUCGAUGCGGUCCAGGCCGUGCUACCGCUAAUGGGCAAAUUGAUGGUGAGUUUAUUAUUUUACCCAGAUUAGGAACGAUUUUUCUAGUAUGAAUCGUUUUUUACGGGCAUGAUCGUUGACGAAAAACCUGAUUAUGCUUCAUUGCAACUAAAAAGCAACAUACGCAUCGCUACAACCUUAUCGCAAAUGGAGAUUGUAGCAUGAUCGAUUAGCAAAAGCAGCAACCAUUUUAGACGACCUCACUGUCCCAAGAUGCUGCAGACUUCUACAGACGCACAUGCAAAGAGUCGGAAACGAAAAAGCCGGAUCACUUUCAGCAAAGACGAAACUCCCGGAUGUAAAAGUGAUUACAUUCACAAGCGCGCGCGAAAAAAAGCGCGGUUUUCUUUCUUUCCCGAGGUAUUGCAGACCGCAACGCGGUAUCGGUUUUAAAUUGGGUGUCAGUUUAUUUACUCCAUGCGGUUCUGUCGCUUCGCCUACCACUUCCCCUACCGCCUCUCCUGCCCGGCCCUGCGACGAUAAUUAUUUCGUUGCCCGAUGCUCGCAGGCGCCAUACUAGAGGGCAAACGGAGGAGCUUUACCCUAUUUCCUCCUAUUUCUAUCCCUCUUUCACGGCGGAUCGCGUUCACUAUGUAUGCGGCGGCGCGCUUGUGGUUUGUAAAUUGUAGAUUUUAUUAAUAUUAAAAAAAAUAAUAAAGAAUUACACUAUAGCCACGGAGCAGAACUUAAAAACUCCUCAUGUUUGCUUUUCUGUGUGCUCGUUUAGCGUAUGUGUUUGUGUGUUUUUUUUACGGAUUCCGUUGAUUUGUAGAUGCUGCUGCUACUGCCGGCUCCUCUGUGUUACCAUAUAUAUAAAUUGAGUCGAGUCCUCUUCUCUUGCUGCGCGAUCCUACCUCAUUAAAGUGUUUUUUUCCUUAAUAGCUAUUACAUUAUCCAUUCGCCAUCUAGUUUUUCUUCAACUUUCGCGACACAUGCAGAAGUAUUAACAUCUUUACCAAUACUACCACCACCACCACCACUACCACACACCAACAACGUCCAGGGGGUUAGAAUCUUACAGCAACUAUUUGGCGCGUGG
Long non-coding RNA from Anopheles coluzzii, 1766 nucleotides. RefSeq lists it as uncharacterized. The transcript is spliced from 3 exons. Lineage: Eukaryota; Metazoa; Arthropoda; Insecta; Diptera; Culicidae. The record is from RefSeq and is a predicted model, not a curated record.